GUGGGUUUCAGUGGUGACCACAGGGGCAGAAGGAGCAGGACUGGGCAGAGUUGCCAGCCUGAGGUGACAGGUUCUAGGUCCACAGCAGGCAGAGCAAGGCCAGUGUGACCAGUGGCUGCUACACCGAGAUGCACCUGUGCGGACUGACUUUGGCCUACCUGCUCUGCAAAUAAGAACCCUAAACAAAAAUAAUCUCUCCUCUACAAUCAAAAAUCCAGGCGCUCUUGACUUGUGGCGGCAUCUUAGAGAAAGGCAGGGCACACGGCGUCCCGUGGAGGAUGUAGAGUACUUGUGGCCCUGCGACCUAACCCACAGGACGCAGAACCGGCUGAUCUCGAGGAACAAACGUGAAGAUAACUGGUUGGCAGAAUACUGGCUUUUCGAACGUGUCCACCUCUAAUCCCCGGAAUCUGAGCGUAUGCAGUGUGACCAAAAUAUACAGUGCAUGUUUAAAUUUUUUAAAUAAUUUAUCAUAUUUUAUUAGCUAUUCAGGAUGGACAUGUGCGUUGUUUCCAUUUUUUACCACGUGCCAGUAUCUUUAUGAGGUGUGAUCAAAACUGCGGUGAGGGGCCGGGGAUUUAGCUCAGUGGUUUCGCCACCUGCUGCGCAAGUGCAAGGACCUGAGUUCGAUCUCUGGUACCAAAAAAAAAAAACUGUGGUGAAUGCUGCUGCCGAGCACCACCCAGUGGAAGGGCAGUGUCGUAAGGACAUCAGGCUGGGUCCUCGCCCACCUGGCACAUUCAGGCGUCCUCCUCCAUCUGGCACAGUGCAACGUCUAGCUCUCCCCCAAAGUCAAAAUGAGCACGAAAGGGAAACGUUUUGAGUUGAUUCAGGACACGGAGGCGGCCACAGCAGCACAACUAAAGACACUCAGGAAAGGACUCCAGAGCUGCUUCAGAGUGGCAAGAACGACAGGAUAAGUGUUUCUGAAGUGAGGGGAAAGAUUCUGAGAGGGACUCAUGGCAACUCUU
Heterocephalus glaber (naked mole-rat) is the source of this 971-nucleotide long non-coding RNA. The record is from Ensembl. NCBI's taxonomy places the organism in Eukaryota, Metazoa, Chordata, Mammalia, Rodentia, Bathyergidae.